GAUAAGGUGGCUGAGGCUAGGCGGUAGAUUGUAAAUCUAUUAACGGGGAGAUACCUCCUUUAUCAUA
RNAcentral lists this transfer RNA (67 nucleotides) under Chorisquilla orientalis. RNAcentral describes it as "tRNA-Tyr". It matches the Rfam family "tRNA". Rfam says of the family: Transfer RNA (tRNA) molecules are approximately 80 nucleotides in length. Their secondary structure includes four short double-helical elements and three loops (D, anti-codon, and T loops). Further hydrogen bonds mediate the characteristic L-shaped molecular structure. tRNAs have two regions of fundamental functional importance: the anti-codon, which is responsible for specific mRNA codon recognition, and the 3' end, to which the tRNAs corresponding amino acid is attached (by aminoacyl-tRNA synthetases). tRNAs cope with the degeneracy of the genetic code in two manners: having more than one tRNA (with a specific anti-codon) for a particular amino acid; and 'wobble' base-pairing, i.e. permitting non-standard base-pairing at the 3rd anti-codon position. Lineage: Eukaryota; Metazoa; Arthropoda; Malacostraca; Stomatopoda; Protosquillidae. The record is from RNAcentral.